UGGCAGAUGCUUACGUGGAAUAAACUUAUUAUUAUAUUAUUUCUGAUAAAAAAAUCUAAUUUAUAUUUUUAAAAAUCCUUAUUAUAAUUGUUAAAAAUCAUUAUUAUAAAUAAAAUUUAAUUGUUAAAAUUAAAUUAAAAAAAAAAAAACAGCCCCAAUUCAACAAAACCCUAAAUUAAAAUCUGAAGCCCCAAUUCAACAAAACCCUAAAUUAAAAUCUGAAGCAGAAACAUAUGAACAUCUGAAGCAGAAGCAUAUGAACUAGCAUGAACCCUAAAUCAAAAAACAGCCCCAAUUUAACAAAACCAUUGCUGACUGUAUGGUUUCUAACGGUUACGCAAAAGAAUGCGUAAAAGUUUACAUCACGGUGAGAAAAUCGAUCGUUAA
RNAcentral lists this long non-coding RNA (387 nucleotides) under Cicer arietinum (chickpea). RNAcentral describes it as "long non-coding RNA (CARI_LNC003300)". The record is from RNAcentral. Lineage: Eukaryota; Viridiplantae; Streptophyta; Magnoliopsida; Fabales; Fabaceae.